GACGAACGCUGGCGGCGUGCUUAACACAUGCAAGUCGAACGGAAAGGCCCCUUUGGGGGUACUCGAGUGGCGAACGGGUGAGUAACACGUGAGUAACCUGCCCUUGACUUCGGGAUAACUUCAGGAAACUGGGGCUAAUACCGGAUAGGAAUCCUUGCUGCAUGGUGGGGGUUGAAAAGCUUCGGCGGUUUUGGAUGGACUCGCGGCUUAUCAGCUUGUUGGUGGGGUAGUGGCUUACCAAGGCUUUGACGGGUAGCCGGCCUGAGAGGGCGACCGGCCACAUUGGGACUGAGAUACGGCCCAGACUCCUACGGGAGGCAGCGGUGGGGAAUAUUGCACAAUGGGCGGAAGCCUGAUGCAGCAACGCCGCGUGCGGGAUGACGGCCUUCGGGUUGUAAACCGCUUUCAGCAGGGGCGAAGCUUGUGGUGACGGUACCUGCAGAAGAAGCACCGGCUAACUACGUG
RNAcentral lists this ribosomal RNA (465 nucleotides) under uncultured bacterium. Its description in RNAcentral is "partial 16S ribosomal RNA". It matches the Rfam family "Bacterial small subunit ribosomal RNA", at positions 28 to 507 of the family's 1533-position model. The record is from RNAcentral.